This 325-nucleotide ribosomal RNA is filed under the name Inocybe sp. 6-322. Its description in RNAcentral is "eukaryotic LSU rRNA". The stretch from base 1 to 105 matches the Rfam family "5.8S ribosomal RNA", at positions 50 to 154 of the family's 154-position model. The record is from RNAcentral. Lineage: Eukaryota; Fungi; Basidiomycota; Agaricomycetes; Agaricales; Inocybaceae.
GAAAUGCGAUAAGUAAUGUGAAUUGCAGAAUUCAGUGAAUCAUCGAAUCUUUGAACGCAUCUUGCGCUCCUUGGUAUUCCUAGGAGCAUGCCUGUUUGAGUGUCAUUAAAAUCUCAACUACACYUCUUCGGUGUGGAUUUGGAUUAUGGGAGUCUUUGCAGGCUUUUAACAAAGUCGGCUCUCCUGAAAUAUAUUAGUGGUGUCUGAGCAGACUACAGGUGUUGAUAAAAAAUCUUAUACCUUGGUUAAACUGCUACAACUGCUUCAAACAAAACAAAUUGUUGUAUUUGACCUCAAAUCAGGUAGGACUACCCGCUGAACUUAA